UAUGAACUACAUAUGGUCCAAUAUCCGA
This 28-nucleotide small RNA is filed under the name Bombyx mori (domestic silkworm). RNAcentral describes it as "ovarian small RNA-1948". The record is from RNAcentral. Lineage: Eukaryota; Metazoa; Arthropoda; Insecta; Lepidoptera; Bombycidae.